GUGGGGAAUCUUGCGCAAUGGGCGAAAGCCUGACGCAGCAACGCCGCGUGGGGGAUGACGGCCUUCGGGUUGUAAACCUCUUUCGACCGGGACGAAGGAUUCGUUUGACGGUACCGGUAGAAGAAGCACCGGCUAACUACGUGCCAGCAGCCGCGGUAAUACGUAGGGUGCGAGCGUUGUCCGGAAUUAUUGGGCGUAAAGAGCUCGUAGGCGGUUUGUCGCGUCGGCCGUGAAAUCCUGCCGCUUAACGGUGGGCGUGCGGUCGAUACGGGCAGACUUGAGUUCGGUAGGGGAGACUGGAAUUCCUGGUGUAGCGGUGAAAUGCGCAGAUAUCAGGAGGAACACCGGUGGCGAAGGCGGGUCUCUGGGCCGAUACUGACGCUGAGGAGCGAAAGCGUGGGGAGCGAACAGGAUUAGAAACCCCUGUAGUCC
Molecule: ribosomal RNA, 432 nt
Filed under: uncultured bacterium
Lineage: Bacteria
Description: bacterial SSU rRNA
Rfam family: Bacterial small subunit ribosomal RNA
Source: RNAcentral